CAUAGGCUUACACAUACACACACACACACGCGCCUCCUUAUUGAGUUAUUAGCAUCCAUCUGCAUCACAUGACCAAACCAGUGCAGUCUUCUCUCUUGCACACAGCAACUAAUUCCUCUGACGCCUGACUUCUCUCUCAAAACACUAUCACUGUGUCGAACAUGUACACUUACAUUACAUAUCCAGUGGAGCAUACUAACCUCAUUCCUUUCUAACCUUCACACGUCCUCUCCAUUCAGGACCCACAUCUCACUACCAUGUAGAAUUGUUGUC
Octopus sinensis (East Asian common octopus) is the source of this 273-nucleotide long non-coding RNA. RefSeq lists it as uncharacterized. NCBI's taxonomy places the organism in Eukaryota, Metazoa, Mollusca, Cephalopoda, Octopoda, Octopodidae. The record is from RefSeq and is a predicted model, not a curated record. The transcript is spliced from 3 exons.